GUCGUGAGGCAUGCUGGAGGUAUCAGAAGUGCGAAUGCUGACAUAAGUAACGAUAAAGCGGGUGAAAAGCCCGCUCGCCGGAAGACCAAGGGUUCCUGUCCAACGUUAAUCGGGGCAGGGUGAGUCGACCCCUAAGGCGAGGCCGAAAGGCGUAGUCGAUGGGAAACGGGUUAAUAUUCCCGUACUUGGUGUUACUGCGAAGGGGGGACGGAGAAGGCUAUGUUGGCCGGGCGACGGUUGUCCCGGUUUAAGCGUGUAGGUGUGUGUUCCAGGUAAAUCCGGUUCACUUUAACACUGAGGCGUGACGACGAGGCACUACGGUGCUGAAGCAACAAAUGCCCUGCUUCCAGGAAAAGCCUCUAAGCAUCAGGUAACAUCAAAUCGUACCCCAAACCGACACAGGUGGUCAGGUAGAGAAUACCAAGGCGCUUGAGAGAACUCGGGUGAAGGAACUAGGCAAAAUGGUGCCGUAACUUCGGGAGAAGGCACGCUGACACGUAGGUGAAGUGAUUUACUCAUGGAGCUGAAGUCAGUCGAAGAUACCAGCUGGCUGCAACUGUUUAUUAAAAACACAGCACUGUGCAAACACGAAAGUGGACGUAUACGGUGUGACGCCUGCCCGGUGCCGGAAGGUUAAUUGAUGGGGUCAGCGCAAGCGAAGCUCCUGAUCGAAGCCCCGGUAAACGGCGGCCGUAACUAUAACGGUCCUAAGGUAGCGAAAUUCCUUGUCGGGUAAGUUCCGACCUGCACGAAUGGCGUAAUGAUGGCCAGGCUGUCUCCACCCGAGACUCAGUGAAAUUGAACUCGCUGUGAAGAUGCAGUGUACCCGCGGCAAGACGGAAAGACCCCGUGAACCUUUACUAUAGCUUGACACUGAACAUUGAGCCUUGAUGUGUAGGAUAGGUGGGAGGCUUUGAAGCGUGGACGCCAGUCUGCGUGGAGCCGACCUUGAAAUACCACCCUUUAAUGUUUGAUGUUCUAACGUGGACCCGUGAUCCGGGUUGCGGACAGUGUCUGGUGGGUAGUUUGACUGGGGCGGUCUCCUCCUAAAGAGUAACGGAGGAGCACGAAGGUUGGCUAAUCCUGGUCGGACAUCAGGAGGUUAGUGCAAUGGCAUAAGCCAGCUUGACUGCGAGCGUGACGGCGCGAGCAGGUGCGAAAGCAGGUCAUAGUGAUCCGGUGGUUCUGAAUGGAAGGGCCAUCGCUCAACGGAUAAAAGGUACUCCGGGGAUAACAGGCUGAUACCGCCCAAGAGUUCAUAUCGACGGCGGUGUUUGGCACCUCGAUGUCGGCUCAUCACAUCCUGGGGCUGAAGUAGGUCCCAAGGGUAUGGCUGUUCGCCAUUUAAAGUGGUACGCGAGCUGGGUUUAGAACGUCGUGAGACAGUUCGGUCCCUAUCUGCCGUGGGCGCUGGAGAACUGAGGGGGGCUGCUCCUAGUACGAGAGGACCGGAGUGGACGCAUCACUGGUGUUCGGGUUGUCAUGCCAAUGGCACUGCCCGGUAGCUAAAUGCGGAAGAGAUAAGUGCUGAAAGCAUCUAAGCACGAAACUUGCCCCGAG
This 1560-nucleotide ribosomal RNA is filed under the name Salmonella enterica. RNAcentral describes it as "partial 23S ribosomal RNA". It matches the Rfam family "Bacterial large subunit ribosomal RNA", at positions 1260 to 2803 of the family's 2925-position model. Lineage: Bacteria; Pseudomonadati; Pseudomonadota; Gammaproteobacteria; Enterobacterales; Enterobacteriaceae. The record is from RNAcentral.